UAGGGAAUAUUGGACAAUGGGUGCAAGCCUGAUCCAGCCAUGCCGCGUGCAGGAAGAAGGCCUUCUGGGUUGUAAACUGCUUUUUGCCAGGGGAUAAAAUUUCUUUGCGAAGAAAAUUGAAGGUACCUGGUGAAUAAGCCACGGCUAACUACGUGCCAGCAGCCGCGGUAAUACGUAGGUGGCAAGCGUUGUCCGGAUUUAUUGGGUUUAAAGGGUGCGUAGGCGGUUCCAUAAGUCAGUGGUGAAAUACAAUAGCUUAACUAUUGAGGUGCCAUUGAUACUGCGGAACUUGAGUACAGACGAGGUAGGCGGAAUUGACGGUGUAGCGGUGAAAUGCUUAGAUAUCGUCAAGAACACCGAUAGCGAAGGCAGCUUACUAGACUGUAACUGACGCUGAGGCACGAAAGUGUGGGGAUCAAACAGGAUUAGAUACCCAAGUAGUCCCUGAGCGGGCUGGCAAGGCGCAU
This 467-nucleotide ribosomal RNA is filed under the name uncultured bacterium. RNAcentral describes it as "bacterial SSU rRNA". It matches the Rfam family "Bacterial small subunit ribosomal RNA", at positions 355 to 825 of the family's 1533-position model. The record is from RNAcentral.